GACGAACGCUGGCGGCGUGCCUAAUACAUGCAAGUAGAACGCUGAAGGAGGAGCUUGCUCUUCUGGAUGAGUUGCGAACGGGUGAGUAACGCGUAGGUAACCUGCCUGGUAGCGGGGGAUAACUAUUGGAAACGAUAGCUAAUACCGCAUAACAGUAGAUGUUGCAUGACAUUUGCUUAAAAGGUGCAAUUGCACCACUACCAGAUGGACCUGCGUUGUAUUAGCUAGUUGGUGGGGUAACGGCUCACCAAGGCGACGAUACAUAGCCGACCUGAGAGGGUGAUCGGCCACACUGGGACUGAGUCACGGCCCAGACUCCUACGGGAGGCAGCAGUAGGGAAUCUUCGGCAAUGGACGGAAGUCUGACCGAGCAACGCCGCGUGAGUGAAGAAGGUUUUCGGAUCGUAAAGCUCUGUUGUAAGAGAAGAACGAGUGUGAGAGUGGAAAGUUCACACUGUGACGGUAUCUUACCAGAAAGGGACGGCUAACUACGUG
RNAcentral lists this ribosomal RNA (495 nucleotides) under uncultured bacterium. Its description in RNAcentral is "partial 16S ribosomal RNA". It matches the Rfam family "Bacterial small subunit ribosomal RNA", at positions 28 to 507 of the family's 1533-position model. The record is from RNAcentral.